Molecule: ribosomal RNA, 319 nt
Filed under: uncultured soil bacterium
Lineage: Bacteria
Description: bacterial SSU rRNA
Rfam family: Bacterial small subunit ribosomal RNA
Source: RNAcentral
AGGAUGAACGCUGGCGGCGUGCUUAACACAUGCAAGUCGAACGGUGAAGCCCAGGCUUGCUGGGUGGAUCAGUGGCGAACGGGUGAGUAACACGUGAGCAACCUGCCCCUGACUCUGGGAUAAGCGCUGGAAACGUGUCUAAUACUGGAUACGAACAGUGACCGCGAUGGGUACUAGGUUUGGUUAGGAAAGUAUUUUAGUUGGGUUUGGGGAUGGGGCUCGCGGUCCUAUCGAGUCGUUGUUGGUGAGGUAAUGGCUCACCGAAGGCGUCGACGGGUAGCCGGCCUGACGAGGGUCGACCGGCCACGACGUCGGGACU